GACGAACGCUGGCGGCGUGCUUAACACAUGCAAGUCGAACGGAAAGGCCCCUUUGGGGGUACUCGAGUGGCGAACGGGUGAGUAACACGUGAGUAACCUGCCCUUGACCUCGGGAUAACUUCAGGAAACUGGGGCUAAUACCGGAUAGGAAUCCUUGCUGCAUGGUGGGGGUUGGAAAGCUUCGGCGGUUUUGGAUGGACUCGCGGCUUAUCAGCUUGUUGGUGGGGUAGUGGCUUACCAAGGCUUUGACGGGUAGCCGGCCUGAGAGGGCGACCGGCCACAUUGGGACUGAGAUACGGCCCAGACUCCUACGGGAGGCAGCAGUGGGGAAUAUUGCACAAUGGGCGGAAGCCUGAUGCAGCAACGCCGCGUGCGGGAUGACGGCCUUCGGGUUGGAAACCGCUUUCAGCAGGGGCGAAGCUUGUGGUGACGGUACCUGCAGAAGAAGCACCGGCUAACUACGUG
Molecule: ribosomal RNA, 465 nt
Filed under: uncultured bacterium
Lineage: Bacteria
Description: partial 16S ribosomal RNA
Rfam family: Bacterial small subunit ribosomal RNA
Source: RNAcentral